This 287-nucleotide RNase P RNA is filed under the name Nitrososphaerota archaeon. RNAcentral's name for it is "Thaumarchaeota archaeon RNase P RNA component". It matches the Rfam family "Archaeal RNase P". From Rfam's summary of the family: Ribonuclease P (RNase P) is a ubiquitous endoribonuclease, found in archaea, bacteria and eukarya as well as chloroplasts and mitochondria. Its best characterised activity is the generation of mature 5'-ends of tRNAs by cleaving the 5'-leader elements of precursor-tRNAs. Lineage: Archaea; Thermoproteati; Nitrososphaerota. The record is from RNAcentral.
GUGAGUCGGCGGGUGGGCCACGGGGACCUCCUGGGGAAGUUCCUCCCUCACUGCAGGAUGCGUGACGCUGAGAAGCGUAGCCGGAGACGGUUGGCGACGGAACAGAAACGAUACCCGCCUCACUAUGUGCGAUGACGGAGCGAUUCCGAGAUCGGUGAACGCGGGAUGAAACGGCCGACCCACGCAGAGCAAGGCCGAACGUGGUCUUGGACGCGCCUGCACCAGAUCAGGGUUGGCUGCUCAGCUGAAUCCUACCUAGAACAGAAGGAGGACUACGGCCGAGACAC